Molecule: long non-coding RNA, 824 nt
Filed under: Bos taurus (domestic cattle)
Lineage: Eukaryota; Metazoa; Chordata; Mammalia; Artiodactyla; Bovidae
Description: long non-coding RNA NONBTAT007205
Source: RNAcentral
CCCACCAGACUUAGUUCCAGUAAGUAGUUCCAGCUAUUCACUGAACUCAGCUGGAUGAUGUGGGUAAGUCAUAUAGGGGUGUUGGGCUCUUCAAUUCCUUCUUGCCUCUAUUUUACUUGACAAAUAUUUCCUGGGUACCUCCUGUGUUCCUGGGCCCGUGCUUGGGGCUGGGACAUAGUUUUCACUCUGGGAAUUCCUGUGGGCUUAGUACAGACAUCGAAGGACUGUCUCAGAGACUGUACAGUCAGGAAGGGGCUGCAGAAGAAGGAAUGUGACUCAGUGUCAGUGAGGGGGUGAUAAAUUCCACCCCUGCCCCCAGCCCAUUUGCUUUUUUCUCAAUCCCCAAUUUUUGGAUCAGGAAGCUCCUGCUGUGUUUCAUGGCCGUCACACAUACCCUUUGCUUUCAUCGCCAACCCUCUCAAGAACUGAUCUGGAGGUGUAGGGUCUUGGGUUGUUGGAUUCAGAAAAGGGGCUCCUAAGAUCCAUCAUCUCUCAGUCCUCUCAUCUGGGGGAUUCUGCAGUCAGGUGGGAUCUUUGGAGGUCCAUCCCCUGUCCCGUCACCUAAAUCUUCUCAGACAAAGAAUUUCCUGACGCUCAUCCUCACUCCAUUUCUUAAAUAUUAAGUUCUUGGGGUCCCUGAUCACUUGCACCUUCCAGAUCAAGACCUCAGCCCCCUCUGCUCACUCUUCAGCCCCAAGGUUCUGGCGCUGCCAGCUGAAGAAGGGCUCGGUGGAGGCUGGACUUCCAAACCACUGACCUCCGAGCAUCUUCAAAGAUUCAUUGCCUGGGAGUGUCUUUGACCCUAUCAGACCUUCCUUCUGCCC